This 399-nucleotide ribosomal RNA is filed under the name uncultured bacterium. RNAcentral's name for it is "bacterial SSU rRNA". It matches the Rfam family "Bacterial small subunit ribosomal RNA", at positions 359 to 775 of the family's 1533-position model. The record is from RNAcentral.
GAAUCUUGCGCAAUGGGCGAAAGCCUGACGCAGCCAUGCCGCGUGAAUGAUGAAGGUCUUAGGAUUGUAAAAUUCUUUCACCGGGGAAGAUAAUGACGGUACCCGGAGAAGAAGCCCCGGCUAACUUCGUGCCAGCAGCCGCGGUAAUACGAAGGGGGCUAGCGUUGCUCGGAAUUACUGGGCGUAAAGGGCGCGUAGGCGGAUAUUUAAGUCAGGGGUGAAAGCCCGGGGCUCAACCUCGGAAUUGCCUUUGAUACUGGAUAUCUUGAGUUCGGGAGAGGUGAGUGGAAUGCCGAGUGUAGAGGUGAAAUUCGUAGAUAUUCGGCGGAACACCAGUGGCGAAGGCGGCCUGCUGGGCAGUGUCUGACGCUGAGGCGCGACAGCGUGGGGAGCAAACAG